AACCGAAGUGUGCAUUCUUCUACUAGUUUUUUACCUUUUGAGAUUGCUUAUGGGUUUAAUCCUUUAACUCCUUUAGAUUUGAUUCAUUUGCCUAUGCAUGAGAUUUCAAGUUUAGAUGGAAAGAAGGAGGCUGAGUUGGUUAAAAAGAUCCAUGAAAAAGCUAAAUUGAGAAGAAAAAUAAUAGAUAAGCAGCCCAAGCUAAUAAAGGAACAAAGCAAAUUACAUUCCAACCAGGAGAUUGGGUUUGGAUGCAUAUGAGGAAUGAAAGAUUUCCAAUUCAAAGGAAGCCUAAGCUUCAUUCUAGAGGAGAUUGUCCAUUUCAAGUGGUGGCUAAGAUUAAUGACAAUGCUUAUAAGCUGGAUCUUCCUGGUGAGUACAAUG
RNAcentral lists this unclassified non-coding RNA (381 nucleotides) under Hevea brasiliensis (rubber tree). Lineage: Eukaryota; Viridiplantae; Streptophyta; Magnoliopsida; Malpighiales; Euphorbiaceae. The record is from RNAcentral.